UUACAUGAACAGCUCUAUGCCCUGGAAUUCCACAACCUGGAUGACAUGUAUCUAUAAAGUGUUUUGUUACAUUUUAUUUUGGAACUACCUUCAACUGGUUUGGUAUCAAGGUAAUACUGGCGGUUUCCUCAUAAACCCUCAUAAAAAUAAGUUGAGAAGUGUCUCUCCUCUUCUGUUUUCUGAAAGAUAUUGUAUAGAGCAGCCUAGCUAUACCAGUUAAAAGAUCAGGAUUGUUAGAGAAUAUUAAAGAAAAAAAAAACAAGACCCAACUAACUAUAUGUUACCUAAAAAGCCUACUUUAAACACUGAUCAUAAGAAACCUGGAGUGAUUAUAUUAAUCUCAGAGAAAGCAGACUUAAAAAAAUUUUUUUUAGUUGUACAUGGACACAAUACUUUUAUUUUACUUAUUUAUUUUUAUGUGCUGCUGAGGAUCGAACCUAGUGCCUCAAUCACAUGCUAGGUAAGGGUGCUACCACUGAGCUACAACCACAGCCCUGCAAAGCAGACUUUAGAACAAGGAACAUCAGUAGGGAUAAAGUCAUUAAAUGAUAAUAAAGGGAUCCAUUCUCUUAGAAGACAUAACAAUCUUCCAUGCAUAAGCCCUUAUCAAUAGAGUGCCAAAAUGUAUGAGGCAAAAGUUGGUAGAGUUCCAGGGGAGAUAGAGAAAUCCUACUCUAGUGGGAGACUUCAACAACCUUCUUUAUAACUAACUGAUAAAUCAAACAGGCAGAAAAUCAGUAAGAAUAUAGAUGCCUGAUGCUACCAUCAAUCAACUUGAUCUAACAGGCAUUUGUAGAGUAAUUUAACCAAUAAUAGCAGAAUAUACAUUCUUGUCAAGCUCACCUGGAACAUUCUAGAGAACAUAUUCUGGACCAUAAAAUAUACCAGAACAAAUGUGAAAGAAUAGAAAUCAUACAAUGUAUGUUCUCAAGUCACAAUGGAAUCAAACUAAAAACCAAGAUAUUUGUAGAUUAAACACCACAGCACUAAAUUAUACAUAGAUCAAAGAAGAAAUUGCAAGAGAUAUUUUUAAAUAUUUUAAACUAAAUGCAAAUGACACUAUAGUUUAUCCAAUAUGUGGGAUGCAGAAUAAACUAUGCUCAGAGGAAAUUUGGUAUUAAAUGCAUAUAUGUUAGAAAAGAAGAAAGAUCUAAAACUGAUCUGAGCUUUCAAUCUUCUGAGAUUAAAAAAAUAAGAACAAUUUAAGCCUAAAGAAAGAAAAAGAGGGGCUGGGGAUGUGGCUCAAGCGGUAGCGUGCUCGCCUAGCAUGAGUGCGGCCCCGGGUUCGAUCCUCAGCACCACAUAC
Molecule: long non-coding RNA, 1306 nt
Filed under: Marmota monax (woodchuck)
Lineage: Eukaryota; Metazoa; Chordata; Mammalia; Rodentia; Sciuridae
Source: RNAcentral